GCUAUUGACUAAGAAAAGUUCUCUCCAUGUAAUAGGGAAGCUGCUGUAACCUGAUGUAUAGAGAGAAGUCCAUAAGAAAUUUAUGUGUUGAAAAGCAAGAAUUUUUUCUUCUGUCGAUUGCUGAGAGUUGAGUUAGUUCUUGUCUCUACUAAAAAUAGUUGCCCUUUCUUUGUUUCUUUCUGCCUUGAUCCAACGCAUAUACUACCUCAUACUUGCUCUAUGAACACGUUACGCUUUUAUUUGGUAGCCUUAUUGUUAUGUGUUGCCUGUAGGUGAA
This 277-nucleotide unclassified non-coding RNA is filed under the name Hevea brasiliensis (rubber tree). Lineage: Eukaryota; Viridiplantae; Streptophyta; Magnoliopsida; Malpighiales; Euphorbiaceae. The record is from RNAcentral.